UAAUGUAUGGGGAUCUGCCCGAUAGAGGGGGGUAACUACUGGAAACGGUGGCUAAUACCGCAUAAUGUCUACGGACCAAAGCAGGGGCUCUUCGGACCUUGCACUAUCGGAUGAACCCAUAUGGGAUUAGCUAGUAGGUGGGGUAAAGGCUCACCUAGGCGACGAUCUCAGCUGGUCUGAGAGGAUGAUCAGCCACACUGGGACUGAGACACGGCCCAG
This 219-nucleotide ribosomal RNA is filed under the name uncultured bacterium. Its description in RNAcentral is "partial 16S ribosomal RNA". It matches the Rfam family "Bacterial small subunit ribosomal RNA", at positions 111 to 334 of the family's 1533-position model. The record is from RNAcentral.